GUGAUGGGAUGGGGAUCACUUAAGGUGUGGAGCUACAAGCACAGUAUAGGGAUACACCAAAGUGGAGGAUAAUACCUGUGGGGAGGACAUACAUCAAACAUUACUGUCAACUUCCAUACUUUUUUUUCAUUUAUUAUCUUAACCUUUUUUCUUCUUGUGAUGCUUUUGUGGCAUACUCAUAUAUGUCACCUUUUUUUCAUCUUGUGAUGCUUUUGUGGCAUACUCAUAUGUCAUACAAAUUUAUCUUGUUCUUUAUGUAACUAAUAUCAGCUUUAUUUCAGGUAGAUGCCAGCUUUUUAGAGGCAAUUCCUGAAGAACUGCAAAAGGAGCUGAAGCAAGACCUGGAGCAUCUCAAGCAAGUGAGAGAAGCUACUGCUCCAUUGCCAGGAAACCGAGGAUUGCAAAGAUCACCACUUAAGCAGGAAAGUGUGCACAGCAGAGGGCGAGGCCAGCACAGAGGUCGACAAGGGAGAAGGAGCAAGGCUGAUUCCCGCUGGGUGGAGUCUGAAGGCUUGGUCACCCUCACCAGUAUGUUCCUUAGCAGCACUGACAAGAAACAACCAACUCUUCAGGAAGUCAACAGAUCAUGCAGGAAUGCUACAGAAUCUUUC
This is a long non-coding RNA of Portunus trituberculatus (swimming crab), 611 nucleotides long. RefSeq lists it as uncharacterized. The transcript has 3 exons. NCBI's taxonomy places the organism in Eukaryota, Metazoa, Arthropoda, Malacostraca, Decapoda, Portunidae. The record is from RefSeq and is a predicted model, not a curated record.